GAUGAACGCUGGCGGCGUGCCUAAUACAUGCAAGUCGAACGCUUUGUCUUUAAUUGAUAUGAAGAGCUUGCUCUGAUUUGAUUUUAUCUGACAAAGAGUGGCGAACGGGUGAGUAACACGUGGGUAACCUACCUCUUAGCAGGGGAUAACAUUUGGAAACAAGUGCUAAUACCGUAUAACACUAACAACUGCAUGGUUGUUAGUUGAAAGAUGGUUCUGCUAUCACUAAGAGAUGGACCCGCGGUGCAUUAGCUAGUUGGUAAGGUAAUGGCUUACCAAGGCGAUGAUGCGUAGCCGAGUUGAGAGACUGAUCGGCCACAAUGGGACUGAGACACGGCCCAUACUCCUACGGGAGGCAGCAGUAGGGAAUCUUCCACAAUGGGCGCAAGCCUGAUGGAGCAACGCCGCGUGUGUGAUGAAGGGUUUCGGCUCGUAAAACACUGUUAUAAGAGAAGAACGACAUUGAGAGUAACUGUUCAGUGUGUGACGGUAUCUUAUCAGAAAGGAACGGCUAAAUACGUG
Molecule: ribosomal RNA, 522 nt
Filed under: uncultured bacterium
Lineage: Bacteria
Description: partial 16S ribosomal RNA
Rfam family: Bacterial small subunit ribosomal RNA
Source: RNAcentral